CAGCCGAAACAGAGAAACAAAUAGAGACAUCAUAAGCAUAGCUGUACUUUAGGACAGACCAGCCUGUGAUCUCCUAAGACACCCAGAUUCACCCCUGGUCACGAUCUGUCCCACACCUGUGUCUCAUCACAGUCCAUCACCAGUGUCUGCACCCUGCAUACUGCCAAUAUUAUGGAUUUCUGUUCUGGAGAGAGAUGCCAUUCACAACAUAAUCUCUACACAAUAUCAAACUCAAAUAAUUUAGUCUUGCCUAACAAUUUCCCUGAUUUGUUACUGUUCACAAUGUAGCAUGGUCUUGCCUACCUUUGUCCAUUCAGUUAUUAAAAUGUUUUUAAUAUUUGUAUUGAA
Molecule: long non-coding RNA, 348 nt
Organism: Carassius auratus (goldfish)
Lineage: Eukaryota; Metazoa; Chordata; Actinopteri; Cypriniformes; Cyprinidae
Exons: 2
Source: RefSeq, a predicted model, not a curated record